This 464-nucleotide ribosomal RNA is filed under the name uncultured bacterium. RNAcentral's name for it is "bacterial SSU rRNA". It matches the Rfam family "Bacterial small subunit ribosomal RNA", at positions 917 to 1382 of the family's 1533-position model. The record is from RNAcentral.
GGGCCCGCACAAGCGGCGGAGCAUGUUGCUUAAUUCGAGGCAACGCGAAGAACCUUACCUGGGCUUGACAUGUAGGGAAAAGCCGUAGAGAUACGGUGUCCUUCGGGGCCCUAUACAGGUGGUGCAUGGCUGUCGUCAGCUCGUGUCGUGAGAUGUUGGGUUAAGUCCCGCAACGAGCGCAACCCUUAUCCUAUGUUGCCAGCGGGUAAUGCCGGGGACUCGUAGGAGACUGCCGGGGUCAACUCGGAGGAAGGUGGGGAUGAGGUCAAGUCAUCAUGCCCCUUAUGUCCAGGGCUGCAAACAUGCUACAAUGGCCGGUACAAAGGGCUGCGAUCCCGCGAGGGUGAGCGAAUCCCAAAAAGCCGGUCUCAGUUCGGAUUGAAGUCUGCAACUCGACUUCAUGAAGUCGGAGUCGCUAGUAAUCCCGGAUCAGCAUUGCCGGGGUGAAUACGUUCCCGGGCCUU